Long non-coding RNA from Pan troglodytes (chimpanzee), 1522 nucleotides. RefSeq lists it as uncharacterized. NCBI's taxonomy places the organism in Eukaryota, Metazoa, Chordata, Mammalia, Primates, Hominidae. The record is from RefSeq and is a predicted model, not a curated record. The transcript has 2 exons.
CUUGUUCCUCUCCCCCUUUCCUCGUCUCCCCCUCCCUCUUCUCCUCUGUCCUCAUUCUCCUCUCCAGCUCCCUACUCUUCCCUUCACCGUCUCCCUCCUCUCUCCCAUCCCCUCCUCUCCCCCUCCCUCCUCUCUCCCCCUCCCUCCUCUCUCCCCCUCCCUCCUCUCUCCCCCUCCCUCCUCUCUCCCCCUCCCUCCUCUCUCCUGAAGUUACCCUGAAGUCUCUGGCACAUGUCCACCCCCAAGCCCCCAUCCAGGCCAUUCCUGCAGGAGAUCCUUCUUCCAUGGGGCUCCACCCCCCCACCCCAGUCCAGUCGGCUUCCAGGAUCCUAGGAAGCACAGAGCCAGGAAACCGCUGCCCUAGGAGGCCUCCCAGAGAGCUGCACUGCAGGGUCUGGCUGGGAAGGGCCCUGCAGCCCCGCCUGUGUGUGGGGGGAGGGAAAGUUGCAGAGGAGACUCGGUGCUGCUGGUGGCUGGUGGGAGCCCCAGGGCUGCUGGCCCAGGCCCCGCUUCUGUCCCUCCCCUUUUGGACCAACCGUACCCCUCCCCUGUUGCAGGAAGUCAGGGACCCCAAACGGAGGGACUGGCUGAAGCCACGGCAGAAGAACGUGGAUUGUGAAGAUUUUAUGGACACUUAUUAGUUCCUCAAAUUAAUACUUUUAUAAUUUCUUAUGCCUGUCUUUACUGCAAUCUCUAAACAUAAAUUGUAAAGAUUUCAUGGACACUUAUCACUUCCCCAGUCAAUACCCUUGUGAUUUCCUAUGCCUGUCUUUACUUUAAUCUCUUAAUCCUGUCAGCUGAGGAGGAUGUAUAUCGUUCCAGGACCCUGUAAUAAUUGCAUUAACUGCACAAAUUGUACAGCAUGUGUGUUUGAGCAGUAUGAAAUCUGAGCACCUUGAAAAAAGAACAGGAUAACAGCAAUGUUCAGGGAAUAAGAGAGAUAACCUUAAACUCUGACCGCCGGUGAGCCAGGCAGAACAGAGCCAUAUUUCUCUUCUUUCAAAAGCAAAUGGGAGAAAUAUCGCUGAAUUCUUUUUCUCAGCAUGGGAUAUCCCUGAGAAAGAGAAUGCGCACCUAGGGGUAGGUCUCUGAACUGGCCCCCCCAGGUGCGCCUGUUUCUUAUGGUUGAGGCUGCAGAGAUGAAAUAGACUCCAGUCUCCCAUAGUGCUCCCAGGCUUAUUAGGAAGAGGAAAUUCCCACCUAAUAAAUUUUGGUCAGACCGGUUGAUGUCAAAACCCUGUCUCCUGAUAAGAUGUUAUCAGUGACAGUGGUGCCCAAAACUUCAUUAGCAAUUUUAAUUUUGCCUCGGUCCUGUGGUCCUGCGAUCUUGUCCUGCCUCCACUGGCCUUGUGAUAUUCUAUUACCCUGUUAAGUACUUGCUGUCUGUCACCCACACCUAUUCACACACUCCCUCCCCUUUUGAAACUCCCUAAUAAAAACUUGCUGGUUUUUGCAGCUUGUGGGGCAUCACAGAUCCUACCGACGUGUGAUGUCUCCCCCGGAUGCCCAGCUUUAAAAUUUC